AGAGGGAGUUAAAAGGGGUUAGUGUUUUUAAAGGGGUUUUUAAGAGGAUGAAAGGAUUGGGGUUUGUUGUUUGAGGAGGAGAUAGGGUGGGAGAGGACCGGGAUCUUUUGAGUGAGGGUCUAGGAUGAGGGUCAGGGGUGGAGAAAGGACAAAAAGGCUUGGGGUUUGAGGUUAAUAUGAUGGCCGAUGAGGUCUCCAUAGGAAUUGGAUCAGUAUUUGUACCAGAGAGGGGAACGACAGGGCGGAGAGGUGAUUUUUGGCCAUCCACUAGCGAGAUGGGCACUGCCUUUGAGGGAGUGGACUGGGGCAAAGAGGCAACUUUAGAAUUACUUGCCUCAUGAUCCAUAGGCUGACUUGAGCUUGCAACUGGCUGGUACUUUUUGUUGAUUUUUUCAGAAUUUUUGUUGCCCUUUUUUGCAGUAGCAGGCGGUUCAGCCCUUGAGGGAGAGUAAUGAAAACAGUUUCGAACUAUAUGCCCCAACUCAUGGCAGUGAGAGCACGUCGGGGGGACCCAAGGGUAAUGGACAGAUAAUUCAACGACUUCACCGCUCUCCCGUUCAAAUUCAACAAUGGAGGGCAAGGGCUUUGUUAAAUCAACCUCCACUUUCACAUGAGACAACGUGAGGCUAACCAAAUUCCUUGUAAACUCGUCUGUCUCCUUCGGUUCACCUACUAGACCCGCUACUAAGCUCAAAC
RNAcentral lists this long non-coding RNA (696 nucleotides) under Brassica napus (rape). RNAcentral's name for it is "long non-coding RNA (BNAP_LNC003005)". The record is from RNAcentral. Lineage: Eukaryota; Viridiplantae; Streptophyta; Magnoliopsida; Brassicales; Brassicaceae.